GACGAACGCUGGCGGCGUGCCUAAUACAUGCAAGUAGAACGCUGAAGGAGGAGCUUGCUUCUCCGGAUGAGUUGCGAACGGGUGAGUAACGCGUAGGUAACCUGCCUGGUAGCGGGGGAUAACUAUUGGAAACGAUAGCUAAUACCGCAUAACAGUAGAUGUUGCAUGACAUUUGCUUAAAAGGUGCAAUUGCAUCACUACCAGAUGGACCUGCGUUGUAUUAGCUAGUUGGUGAGGUAACGGCUCACCAAGGCGACGAUACAUAGCCGACCUGAGAGGGUGAUCGGCCACACUUGGACUGAGACACGGCCCAGACUCCUACGGGAGGCAGCAGUAGGGAAUCUUCGGCAAUGGACGGAAGUCUGACCGAGCAACGCCGCGUGAGUGAAGAAGGUUUUCGGAUCGUAAAGCUCUGUUGUAAGAGAAGAACGAGUGUGAGAGUGGAAAGUUCACACUGUGACGGUAUCUUACCAGAAAGGGACGGCUAACUACAUG
This 495-nucleotide ribosomal RNA is filed under the name uncultured bacterium. Its description in RNAcentral is "partial 16S ribosomal RNA". It matches the Rfam family "Bacterial small subunit ribosomal RNA", at positions 28 to 507 of the family's 1533-position model. The record is from RNAcentral.